GGGUUGUGAGGUUAAGCGACUAAGCGUACACGGUGGAUGCCCUGGCAGUCAGAGGCGAUGAAGGGCGUGCUAAUCUGCGAUAAGCGCCGGUAAGGUGAUAUGAACCGUUAUAACCGGCGAUACCCGAAUGGGGAAACCCAGUGUGACUCGUCACACUAUCAUUAACUGAAUCCAUAGGUUAAUGAGGCGAACCGGGGGAACUGAAACAUCUAAGUACCCCGAGGAAAAGAAAUCAACCGAGAUUCCCCCAGUAGCGGCGAGCGAACGGGGAGGAGCCCAGAGCCUGAAUCAGCAUGUGUGUUAGUGGAAGCGUCUGGAAAGGCGCGCGAUACAGGGUGACAGCCCCGUACACAAAAGCGCAUGUGCUGUGAGCUCGAUGAGUAGGGCGGGACACGUGGUAUCCUGUCUGAAUAUGGGGGGACCAUCCUCCAAGGCUAAAUACUCCUGACUGACCGAUAGUGAACCAGUACCGUGAGGGAAAGGCGAAAAGAACCCCGGCGAGGGGAGUGAAAAAGAACCUGAAACCGUGUACGUACAAGCAGUGGGAGCACAGGUUUACCUGUGUGACUGCGUACCUUUUGUAUAAUGGGUCAGCGACUUAUAUUCUGUAGCAAGGUUAACCGUAUAGGGGAGCCGGAGGGAAACCGAGUCUUAACCGGGCGUUAAGUUGCAGGGUAUAGACCCGAAACCCGGUGAUCUAGCCAUGGGCAGGUUGAAGGUUGGGUAACACUAACUGGAGGACCGAACCGACUAAUGUUGAAAAAUUAGCGGAUGACCUGUGGCUGGGGGUGAAAGGCCAAUCAAACCGGGAGAUAGCUGGUUCUCCCCGAAAGCUAUUUAGGUAGCGCCUCGUGAAUUCAUCUCCGGGGGUAGAGCACUGUUUCGGCUAGGGGGCCAUCCCGGCUUACCAACCCGAUGCAAACUGCGAAUACCGGAGAAUGUUAUCACGGGAGACACACGGCGGGUGCUAACGUCCGUCGUGAAGAGGGAAACAACCCAGACCGCCAGCUAAGGUCCCAAAGUCAUGGUUAAGUGGGAAACGAUGUGGGAAGGCCCAGACAGCCAGGAUGUUGGCUUAGAAGCAGCCAUCAUUUAAAGAAAGCGUAAUAGCUCACUGGUCGAGUCGGCCUGCGCGGAAGAUGUAACGGGGCUAAACCAUGCACCGAAGCUGCGGCAGCGAACGUAUCACUUAAAGCGAUUCAGCGGGUUACGAUUGACGGAGCGAAGCGACGUCAAAGCGUAUACAAAGUCGAGUCGGUUUAAGGAUACGUUCGUUGGGUAGGGGAGCGUUCUGUAAGCCUGUGAAGGUGUGUCGUGAGGCAUGCUGGAGGUAUCAGAAGUGCGAAUGCUGACAUAAGUAACGAUAAAGCGGGUGAAAAGCCCGCUCGCCGGAAGACCAAGGGUUCCUGUCCAACGUUAAUCGGGGCAGGGUGAGUCGACCCCUAAGGCGAGGCCGAAAGGCGUAGUCGAUGGGAAACGGGUUAAUAUUCCCGUACUUGGUGUUACUGCGAAGGGGGGACGGAGAAGGCUAUGUUGGCCGGGCGACGGUUGUCCCGGUUUAAGCGUGUAGGUGUGUGUUCCAGGUAAAUCCGGUUCACUUUAACACUGAGGCGUGAUGACGAGGCACUACGGUGCUGAAGCAACAAAUGCCCUGCUUCCAGGAAAAGCCUCUAAGCAUCAGGUAACAUCAAAUCGUACCCCAAACCGACACAGGUGGUCAGGUAGAGAAUACCAAGGCGCUUGAGAGAACUCGGGUGAAGGAACUAGGCAAAAUGGUGCCGUAACUUCGGGAGAAGGCACGCUGACACGUAGGUGAAGUGAUUUACUCAUGGAGCUGAAGUCAGUCGAAGAUACCAGCUGGCUGCAACUGUUUAUUAAAAACACAGCACUGUGCAAACACGAAAGUGGACGUAUACGGUGUGACGCCUGCCCGGUGCCGGAAGGUUAAUUGAUGGGGUCAGCGCAAGCGAAGCUCCUGAUCGAAGCCCCGGUAAACGGCGGCCGUAACUAUAACGGUCCUAAGGUAGCGAAAUUCCUUGUCGGGUAAGUUCCGACCUGCACGAAUGGCGUAAUGAUGGCCAGGCUGUCUCCACCCGAGACUCAGUGAAAUUGAACUCGCUGUGAAGAUGCAGUGUACCCGCGGCAAGACGGAAAGACCCCGUGAACCUUUACUAUAGCUUGACACUGAACAUUGAGCCUUGAUGUGUAGGAUAGGUGGGAGGCUUUGAAGCGUGGACGCCAGUCUGCGUGGAGCCGACCUUGAAAUACCACCCUUUAAUGUUUGAUGUUCUAACGUGGACCCGUGAUCCGGGUUGCGGACAGUGUCUGGUGGGUAGUUUGACUGGGGCGGUCUCCUCCUAAAGAGUAACGGAGGAGCACGAAGGUUGGCUAAUCCUGGUCGGACAUCAGGAGGUUAGUGCAAUGGCAUAAGCCAGCUUGACUGCGAGCGUGACGGCGCGAGCAGGUGCGAAAGCAGGUCAUAGUGAUCCGGUGGUUCUGAAUGGAAGGGCCAUCGCUCAACGGAUAAAAGGUACUCCGGGGAUAACAGGCUGAUACCGCCCAAGAGUUCAUAUCGACGGCGGUGUUUGGCACCUCGAUGUCGGCUCAUCACAUCCUGGGGCUGAAGUAGGUCCCAAGGGUAUGGCUGUUCGCCAUUUAAAGUGGUACGCGAGCUGGGUUUAGAACGUCGUGAGACAGUUCGGUCCCUAUCUGCCGUGGGCGCUGGAGAACUGAGGGGGGCUGCUCCUAGUACGAGAGGACCGGAGUGGACGCAUCACUGGUGUUCGGGUUGUCAUGCCAAUGGCACUGCCCGGUAGCUAAAUGCGGAAGAGAUAAGUGCUGAAAGCAUCUAAGCACGAAACUUGCCCCGAGAUGAGUUCUCCCUGAGACUUAAAGUCUCCUGAAGGAACGUUGAAGACGACGACGUUGAUAGGCCGGGUGUGUAAGCGCAGCGAUGCGUUGAGCUAACCGGUACUAAUGAACCGUGAGGCUUAACCUUACAACGCCGAAG
RNAcentral lists this ribosomal RNA (3010 nucleotides) under Salmonella enterica. RNAcentral describes it as "23S ribosomal RNA". It matches the Rfam family "Bacterial large subunit ribosomal RNA". Lineage: Bacteria; Pseudomonadati; Pseudomonadota; Gammaproteobacteria; Enterobacterales; Enterobacteriaceae. The record is from RNAcentral.